Long non-coding RNA from Sinocyclocheilus grahami, 515 nucleotides. RefSeq lists it as uncharacterized. Lineage: Eukaryota; Metazoa; Chordata; Actinopteri; Cypriniformes; Cyprinidae. The transcript has 4 exons. The record is from RefSeq and is a predicted model, not a curated record.
GUACAACACACGUGCCACAUGAGGGUGCUAAGCACCGCAAAAGAGUCGGGGAGAGACUAGCGGAUUCAAGGCAAAGACAGUUAUCAGCUCUACAAAAGAGGACGAGGAGUAAUGUUUUGAUUCACUAGUAUUUAAAGUACAACUAGGGAAAGAGAAAACACCAUUACAGUCAAGACCCAUGAUCAUGCCUUAAACGGGGCAUCUUCAACAGGACCACAUCUUGGUGCCCUGUGGCCUGGUAAGAAACAAUAAGAGCUCGAAGCUGAAGUCCGAGUGUACCAGACACCUAGCGUGGAGCUGUCAAAAAGGAGCGAAUCAGUGUGGAAGAUCUUGACUGUCCAGCACAGAGCCCUUAGCUCAAUCCCACUGAACAACUUUGGGAUGAACUGGAAUGGACGUUGCGAGCCAGACCUUCUCGUCCAACAUCAGUGCCUGACCUCACAAAUGCUCUACUGGUUGAAUGGGCAAAAAUUCACACAGAAACUCAUUAAAAACUUGUGUAAAGCCUUCCCAGA